AAUAGAUACCGGUAGUCCACGCCGUAAACGAUGAGUGCUAAGUGUUAGAGGGUUUCCGCCCUUUAGUGCUGCAGCAAACGCAUUAAGCACUCCGCCUGGGGAGUACGGCCGCAAGGCUGAAACUCAAAGGAAUUGACGGGGGCCCGCACAAGCGGUGGAGCAUGUGGUUUAAUUCGAAGCAACGCGAAGAACCUUACCAGGUCUUGACAUCUCCUGACAACCCUAGAGAUAGGGCGUUCCCCCUUCGGGGGACAGGAUGACAGGUGGUGCAUGGUUGUCGUCAGCUCGUGUCGUGAGAUGUUGGGUUAAGUCCCGCAACGAGCGCAACCCUUGAUCUUAGUUGCCAGCAUUCAGUUGGGCACUCUAAGGUGACUGCCGGUGACAAACCGGAGGAAGGUGGGGAUGACGGUCAAAUCAUCAUGCCCCUUAUGACCUGGGCUACACACGUGCUACAAUGGAUGGUACAAAGGGCUGCGAGACCGCGAGGUUAAGCGAAUCCCAUAAAACCAUUCUCAGUUCGGAUUGCAGGCUGA
Molecule: ribosomal RNA, 533 nt
Filed under: uncultured bacterium
Lineage: Bacteria
Description: bacterial SSU rRNA
Rfam family: Bacterial small subunit ribosomal RNA
Source: RNAcentral